This 63-nucleotide transfer RNA is filed under the name Staphylinidae sp. BMNH 1274219. RNAcentral's name for it is "tRNA-Arg". Lineage: Eukaryota; Metazoa; Arthropoda; Insecta; Coleoptera; Staphylinidae. The record is from RNAcentral.
UAAUAAGAAAUAAAUUUAUUUAUAUUUAGUUUCGACCUAAAAUUAGCCUUAUGGCCUUAUUUU